CUUUUUGGCGGCUCGGAUGGGAGGGCUCGCGCCCUGCCGGUUCUCGCAAGAGCUUCCCGGUCUGCUAACCCGUUCGAGCCGCCGCCCCC
RNAcentral lists this non-coding RNA (89 nucleotides) under Variovorax guangxiensis. The record is from RNAcentral. Lineage: Bacteria; Pseudomonadati; Pseudomonadota; Betaproteobacteria; Burkholderiales; Comamonadaceae.